RNAcentral lists this ribosomal RNA (492 nucleotides) under uncultured bacterium. RNAcentral describes it as "partial 16S ribosomal RNA". It matches the Rfam family "Bacterial small subunit ribosomal RNA", at positions 29 to 507 of the family's 1533-position model. The record is from RNAcentral.
AGUGAACGCUGGCGGUAGGCCUAACACAUGCAAGUCGAACGGCAGCACAGUAAGAGCUUGCUCUUACGGGUGGCGAGUGGCGGACGGGUGAGGAAUACAUCGGAAUCUACUUUUUCGUGGGGGAUAACGUAGGGAAACUUACGCUAAUACCGCAUACGACCUACGGGUGAAAGCAGGGGAUCUUCGGACCUUGCGCGAUUGAAUGCGCCGAUGUCGGAUUAGCUAGUUGGCGGGGUAAAGGCCCACCAAGGGGACGAUCCGUAGCUGGUGUGAGAGGAUGGUCGGCCACCCUGGAGCUGGAACACGGUCCAGACGCCUAAGGGAGGCAGCAGUCGGGAAUAUGGGACAAUGGGGGCAAGCCUGAUCCAGCCAUACCGCGUCGGUGAAGAAGGCCUUCGGGUCGUAAAGCCCUUUUGUUGGGAAAGAAAAGCAGCAGGUUAAUACCCCGCUGUUCUGACGGUACCCAAAGAAUAAGCACCGGCUAACUUCGUG